UACAGAGGUCUCAAGCGUUGUUCGGAUUCAUUGGGCGUAAAGGGUGCGUAGGUGGCGCCGUAAGUCAGGUGUGAAAUCUCGGGGCUCAACCCCGAAACUGCACUUGAUACUGCGGUGCUCGAGUACUGGAGAGGAGAUUGGAAUUUACGGUGUAGCAGUGAAAUGCGUAGAUAUCAGGAGGAACACCGGUGGCGAAGGCGGGUCUCUGGGCAACAACUGACGCUGAGGAGCGAAAGCGUGGGGAGCGAACAGG
This 253-nucleotide ribosomal RNA is filed under the name uncultured bacterium. RNAcentral's name for it is "partial 16S ribosomal RNA". It matches the Rfam family "Bacterial small subunit ribosomal RNA", at positions 524 to 776 of the family's 1533-position model. The record is from RNAcentral.